AAUUUGCCCUCUUCCCAUGAUUCCUCUCUCAUCUCUCACUUCACUUGACGCCUUCUCCAAUCAGCCCGUACGACGACGUCCUCCGUACGGAAACAUCCUCGUCCUAUGAUCUAGUGAACAUGUACGUAAUCUUCCUCAAAACUUGAUUGGAAACCUUUUUUUCCCUCAUAUUUAGGGCAUCUUGUUCUUGCUUUUACAUUUUCUUGAUUUUGCUGGUUUUGUUAGAUACUAAAAUCAGAAUUAGAAAAGGGUUUCGUCCAACUUCAAUAUCAUUUUCUUGUAUCUUGCGAUGAACUGUGAGUGCCACAUCAAAUACAACACAAGUUCGUCUGAAAUUUAAAAGAAUAGAACCAACAUAUAGAGAAAAAUUACUGAGAUUUGUGUGUGAAAAAUUACUAAGUCCGUCUGAUUUUUUCUGAGAUUUGUAUUUGAGACACUGAAGUGUAUAGAAAAUAUUGAAUUGGCUUUUAAUUUUACUAUACUUUGUGAUAAUUUUAGAAUGUCCCUCAAAUCAGAAAAAAUGGGGAAAAACUGUAGGACAGUCACUCAGUUGAAGCACUACAGUUGCAAAAGGGCUUAGAAGUGUCCAAAUUUUCACUGUUAUUCAAAAUGCAGUUCAUAAAAUUUUUGAAAUAUCUCCAUAACAGGAAAAGUAGUAUGUGGUCAAGAUUUUUUUGCCCUUGAGACUGAUGCUUGCUCACCUUAGAAUUACCUAUGAAAUAUCUCCUUCAAAAUUGAGGUUUGGGUGAGGAUUUGAGGGUAGGGGUAUCUAGUACAAUUUAUGAAAUUACAGGUCCCAACUUAUAAUUUUAGAUCGAGAGUUAGUUUGCAAAUGGUGCUGAUGAAGUGGUGCGGCUUUUGUGUGGUACCAAGGGUGGUGGAGUAGGGUAGGACGAAGAGCAUUUGUGACUAGUAAGAUGUUAACAUAAUUAUAAACAUAAUUAUAUGGUAUUGUGAUCUUGGCUUGUUAUUGUAAUCGUGGCCUAUUAAAUGCAUUACUUGAUAUUUGAAGCAUUUUCAUCAGUUUCUUAUUUUUUUAAAGUGUAUCUUGGAACCUUUGUAAUUAUAUGUAUUUUUCCCUUCAUUGUAGGUUGAAAUUUCUAAACCCGAUUGUAAUAUUUGAAACAAGGAAGUAAUUCACAAAUAUAUUUACGAAGUUUAUUUUAUACUUAUUUUUAAUUUUUUUUCUCAAAAUAUUAUUUUUCUUAUGGGUUAAUUUCACAAACCGUCACUAAACUUCCUUGAAAAUUACAAAACGGUCACUAAAUAUUAAAACUUACAGAAACGGUCAUUGAACUUUAGAGCGCUUUCAAAAACGGUUACUAAAGUUUACAAACUUGCAGAAAUGGUCAUCCAAAAUUUUCAAAUUUUUUGGCGAGGUUUGAGGCAAAUUUCCUACAACCUCCGACCACCAAGACCGUCGAAUUUGGAUACCGUUGGAAAGCCCACAUGUCUUCUUCAAUUACCACCCAAAAUCUCUCCAUAACUCCAAAGGAUUGGACCAAAAUAAGCGCACAAAGUAUGCUCCCCGAAGUCGAAAAAUCAACCCAGAUUUUUCAGAUUUUUGGGCGAGAUUUGCAGUCAUUUUUCGGUAACUUUCGACCACCAAGAUCGUCGAAUUUGGAUACCAUUGAAAAGUCCAUAAUAUCCUCUUCCAUAAUAUCCUCUUCAAUUACCACCCAAAAUCUCCCCAUAACCCCAAAUGAUUCGUUAGGAAAAAGCCCACAAAGUCAGUUCCUCAAAAUCUGAAAAAAUUAAAGAGAACAUUGUGGGCUUUCCAAUGAUAUCCAAAUUAGACGGUCUUGGUGGUUGGAAGUUGCCGGAAAAUUGCGCAAAUCUCACCCAAAAAUCUAAAAAAUCUAGCUUAAUUUUUCAAUUGCGGGAGCUCAUUUUGUGAGCUUAUUCUGACCGAAUCCUUUGGAGUUAUGGGGAGAUUUUGGAUGGUAAUUGAAGAGGACAUUGUGGAUUUUCUAAUAGUAUCCAAAUUCAACGGUCUUGGUGGUCGGAGGUUUCCGUAAAUCUCAUCCAAAAAUAUGAAAAAUCUGAGCAAAUUUUUCAGAUUUUGGGGAGCUGAAUUUGUGGGCUUAUUCCGGUUGAAUCUUAUGGAGUCAUAGGGAGAUUUUGGAUGAUAAUUGAAGAGGACAUUGUGAACUUUUCAACGAUAUCCAAAUCUGGUAGUCUCGGUGGUCGAAAGCUGUCGCAAAAUUAUCGCAAAAUUCAUCCAAAAAUCUGAAAAAUUUGGGUAGAUUUCAGGGAACUGAAUUUGUGGACUUAUUCCGGUCGAAUCCUUUGGAGUUAUGAGGAGAUUUUGGAUGAUAAUUGAAGAGGACAUUGUGUGCUUUUAAACGAUAUACAAAUUCAACGAUCUUGGUGGUUGGAAGUUGUCAAAAAUUUGCUGCAAAUGUUGUCUAAGAAUCUGAAAAUUUUGGGUGGUCGUUUCUGUAAGUUUAUAAACUUCAGUGACCGUUUCUAAAAGCGCUCUAAACUUUAGUGACUGUUUCUGCUAGUUUUUAAACUUCAGUGACCGUUUUGUAUUUUUCAGGUAAGUUCAGUGAACGUUUGUGAAAUUAAUCCUUUUUCUUAUUAAUUUUUUAUUUUUUCUUAUGAAUUUUGUAAAAAUGUAAUGCAAUUUCUAAAAUUAUAUUAUACAAAUUUCACCAUUCGAUUCCACAAUAUGACAUUGUCAUCACUUGUAAAAUAAUAUGUUAAACAUUUUGCUGUCUAUUUUUACUGUUACUGUAGCUAUCGAUACCAUCAUGAUUGAUAACAUUCAAUUUUAUCCCACUAUCGCAACCACCAAAACAAUUGCCCUCCAUCAUCAUCGUCACUGCCACCAUCAACAAUAAUUCCUGAACUUUAGUACAACUCCAUAGAAGCCUCACUAAAAAACUAGCAAUAUACCGUCCAUUCCUUUUUUAGUUAGUAGGCAUCUCAAUUUAUUCACUCCAAGAUUUUGGCUAGGUUUGAUGAUGGUGCUGAUGAAGGUGAUGGUGGUGUUUUGUGAUGGGUGAUGAUGGUGUUUGGCAGUGCGUGGUGGUUAGGUGGUGAGCUGCCAUUAUUCGUGUAUUUGUACAUGAAUAAAUGUGUAUUUGUUUGUGUUAGAUUGUGUUUGUAUGUUAAAUUAUGUGUUUUUGAGUUUGUGGAGAAUGAAAACCAGUAUUUACCAUGUAGAGAAUUAGAAAGGACUGAAAAUAAGCUCAAAUUUUGGAAAAAAAAAAAAAGAAAAAAAAAGAAAGAAAGAAAAAGAGGGGACCGAGCUAGAUUAUAAGAAUUCUAUAUCAUAAUAACAAUCUUAUAAAGCCCUAUUAGGUGGGGCUUAAAAUUUUAUUUCUAGUAGAUUUUGAUAAAAGUUGAUAAAAAGUAUAGUUGAAGGGUUGUAUGAUUCAUAAAAUAUGUAGUUAAAAUUUAAAGUUUAAUCAUUACCAAACAAAGGGAAAAUAGUUAUGUUAUAAUAAUUGGAUCGGACCAGUCGGUUGAAUCGAGAAAAUUGCGAAUUGACCUCUAUUUCAUUUUGCUAUUCAUACAUUUAGGUUUUCUUUAAGUGCUGAAUUUUUUUCCACAAAAGUUCUGAGUGGAAAAUUACAUCCCUACUUACUUUUUUAAUCAAUAUUCUAAAAUCAUAUUAACGGUUUCAUUGUUCAAAAAUUAUAUAUUUUAAAUAUUCAAUAUUAUAAUAUAAAUUUUAUCCAACCCUCUCCAUCUCGCUCGCUUGUCCCUCUCUCUUCCUCUUUCCUUCAUCAAUUCAAACUUCCGCAGUUAGCGAUGGAGCUGCUCCGACUGACACCACACCACAAGCGUUCGUCAUCGCCGAACAAGUGACUGGUGGUGCUAGUGCACUUAUCAUUGCAGAUCUGUAGGUGGCGCUGUCAAUCUUCCCAUUCUUCCUGUUUUUUUUUUUUUUUUUAAAAAAAUUGAGUGGAGCGUGGUUUGCAAUUUGGGGGAGGAGGGUGGUGUGGUGGUGGCACGGUGUUGUAGGUGUGGUGGUGGUGACAGUUCAGUGGUGUGGUUUUCAAUUAUUUGAAUCCAAUUUUGUUUGGUGGCUGUGUAAUUAGUGCUCUACACUCAUGAUAUUUAUGUUACUUAAUUUAUUAUUUUGCUACCCUCGAAGCAUUUUAAAGUGUGUUUUAAUGUUGUGUUAUAUGUUGAUGAAAUUGAAAGAAAAAAACAAACGUUGAAAAAAUUGGAGAAAUGGGCCAAAUUGUAUGAGAUCCAAAGUUUGAGGACUAAAAUGUAAAUAAUCAAAAGUUGUUUCGAACCUUGCAAUGAAGAUCCGAGAGUGCUAGGAGCCAAUUGGAUGAAGAAAGACAUCAAAGGGGUCAAAUUGAGUCUAAGUAUGAUUACAUAUCAACUUCUAACCGAAAAAGUUAUGCUCCGAAUUUUCAGACUCAAAUGUAGACUUAUUUUUGACAUAGCAAACGAUCAAAUUGGAGAAUGAUGUCUAAAUUAAAGUUGUAGUCCUUUGAGUCAGCCUUUCAAUACAUCUUAAAUCACCUCAAUCAAAUAUCGAGAGAAAAAGCUAUGCUAAAAACAUUGAAGGACGUGCAGUCUAUCUUUUCGGUUGAACCGGGCGUGUUAUUGAAAAUAUGCAGUAAAGGCAGCGCCCAUCUUGGGUGCGGAGGCAGUGGCUAUGAGGGAAAAAGGAUUUUUAUAUUUUUGGACUCUUCUCUUUGUUCAAUUCUACAUAAUUUGUCCAAGAACUUAAAAAUACUAUAAAUAUCAUUCAAAAGACCUAUUUUCUGGAAGAAUUGAAAGGGGCAAGAUUGAAGAAUUCAACCACACAAUUUGAAGGAGGCAAAAAUUGAAGACAUCAAAGGGAGGCAAGAACAACAUCAAUGAAGAAGAUUGAAAAUCUACCCAAAAGGUUAGUUUUUUUUUUUUUUUUAUCAUUUUCUUUAUGUUGUUUAUGAAUUAAAUAAUUUAUCUACGGUUAAUGUAACUGAACAUGAUUCUAUGGUUUGAUGAUUUUAUAAUUAUUGCUUUUGAUUAUGCAUAUUUAAUUAUGUCAUGAUUUUAAUACUUUCAAUUACCCGAUCAAUAAUUGAAUGAAUAGAUGCUAGUCAAUUUCGACACUCGAAAGACGGGAAUUUAACCGCGAUUAUAAGAUUGACACAAUAUAGAUUUUAUGGAUUUCGAGAAAACUAUAAAAUCAUGAAACUUACUCCAUAGAAGAAUCGAAACUUUUAUAAAUUCUUGAUCUACAAUUCGAAAUAGAGAUAUUGGAAUUGGAAUUUAGGAUUAAUUUCUAGUCUGCACUCGAGAGAGGGGAGAGAAAUGUAUUAGAAUUCUUGUUUUUAAAUAUGAGAAAAUUAGCUAGAAUAAUUAGAAAUCAUUGAAUCAUAAUCGAAAGUUAGGUGAAAUCAAUUCCCUAGGAUAUCUCAUUUUGAUAAUUUGCAUUCUUCAAUUUUGUCACAACCAAUUAUGUUAGAUUAGUUUAAAACAUUCAUUCAUUCAAUUAUCCAUUCAUCUGAACAAAGUAGAAAUUGCAUAAUUAUAGUACUUAGAGAGAAUUAAAUUAUAACCCAUAUGGGUUUGACACUCUUACUUCAAUACUAUAUUACAAAAAAAAAAAAAAAAAAAAUUAACACCGUACACUUAUAGUAUAAAUCACGUUGCAUAAAACGCGUGACAAGUUUUUGGCGUCGUUGUUAGGGAUUGUUUAUUUUAUUUUGACUAAUAUUAUUACCAAGUAAUUUCUAUUUUAAUUUAUAUUUCUUUUCUUUUAAUUGCUUUGUGGCACUUGUGUCAGGUGUAUGCGAAGAUCGAGGAGUGUUGGACUACUACCUGUUGAUCCUGAACCAGGACAAACUUUCAAAUUUAUAAGGAAUAUUCAGAGACAUUACCUUGAAGCAAUGGCCGAACAAAAUCCACCAUUAGCAAACCAGAACAAUCAUAAUGUUCAACAAAGGGCUAUAAGAGACUACAUCAGACCAAUUAUAGUUCCAGUAUUGCACAUCCAACAAUAGCUGCAAUUAAUUUCAAACUGAAGCCAGAGCUAAUUCAUAUUGUACAAUAAAAUUAGUUGGGGCAGCUCCAAAAAAAGACCCAAAUACUCAUCUGGGUUCUUUUCUGGAUAUGUGAUACGGUGAAAAAUGAAUGGUGUUACUGAAGAUACAAUCUGAUUCUGUCUAUUUUCCUUCUCCCUAAGAGAUAGCAUAUUUCCAAUCAUUGUCAAAUUGAUCCAUCACAACUUGGGAGGAGUUAGCACAGAAAUUUCCUGCAAAAUUCUUUACACCUUCGAAGGUAGUGCAAUUGCUAGGUGAAAUUGGGUAGUUUCGACGGUCAGACUUCAAACCGUUCUAUGAGGCAUGGGAAAGAUAUAAAUAUUUAUUCUAUGAGGCAUGGUUACCCAAAUUGGUUGCAGACACAAGCCUUCUACAACGGUUUGAAUGGUCAGACACGAAUAGUGGUAGACUUUGCAUCAAGUGGCACAUUGAUGAGCAAGACUCCAGAUGAGGCCUACGUAUUAUUGGAUGAGAUAGCUACUAACAGUUAUCAAUGGCCAAGUAAGCGUUCAAGUGUAAAGAAAGUUGCUGGCCUUUAUAAGGUGGAUCUCAUUACCGUCUUUGUAGCUCAAAUGUCAUCUCUCAUUAAUCAAAUAGUUGCAUUGACAUUAAGAAAUUAGAUUCCAUCAUGGCUGCCUCUACUUCUAUUAUGCAUCUAAGUCAGAGAAUGAGCAAGUCCAAUAUGUGAAUGGCAAAAAUUUCAAUCAAAGAGGAAACUACUCAGUAAACUAGUACCAUCCGGGACUGCGAAACCAUGAAAACCUCUUUUAUGGCAACAAUGCUAAUGUGUUGCAGCCCCCACCAGGAUACAAUACUCAGCUAUCUGAAGGGAUGCCAUCACUAGAGGAUAUAUUAUGAACCUUAAUUUUAGAGACCAGGUUGAAGUUCAACAAAGAUGAGUCAAGACUUGACAACAUUGAGACUAACAUGACCAACUAGAGGACCAUAGUGAAGAACUUAGAGGUACAGCUUGGUUAGAUAGCAAUUGCGAUACAGUCUCAACAGAGAGGAAAAUUUCCCAGUGAUACAGAGGUUAACCCAAGGGAGCACUGCAAUGCUAUCCUAAGGAAUGGUAAAGAAGUUCAAGAAAGCAAGGCUAAAGAGAUUGUGGUGCCUAAACCGGAUCCCAUACUUAUGGAGGAAAAGCUAGUUGAAGAGCAGAAGACUGAGACAGAGAUAGCAAAAGAAGCACAUAAACCUUAUUGAAUCUCAUUCCCAAAUAAUCCACCCAUCUUGAAGACACUACUACCAUUCCUGUAGAGGUUUAUGAAGAAAAAAUUGAUGAGCAAUUCACAAAAUUCUUGGAGGUUUUCAAGAAAAUCCACAUCAACAUCCCCUUCGCAGAUGCCUUGGCCCAAAUGCCCAACUAUGCCAAGUUCUUAAAGAAAGUGAUGUCAAAGAAGAAGAAGCUAGAUGAGUUAGAGACAAUUAAGAUGACAGAAGAGUAUAGUACCAUUCUCCAGAAGAAACUCCCUCCGAAAUUGAAAAAUCCAGAAAGCUUUAACAUUCUUUGCAAAAUUGGUGGUAUCAUAUUUGAUAGAGCACUGUGUGACCUUGAAGCUAGCAUGAAUUUGAUGCCCCUAUCAGUGUUCAAGAAGCUAAGUCUUGGAUAAAUAAAACCCACAAUCCUCACCUUACAACUAGCAAAUCGAUCAAUUACAUACCCUAAGGGCAUUACUGAAGAUGUAUUCGUAAAGGUUGAUAAGUUCAUCUUUUCGGUGGACUUUGUAAUGUUGGACAUGAAGGAGGAUGAGAAAGUACCAUUGAUUCUUUGUCUACCUUUCCUAGCACUGGAAGAACAUUGAUUGAUGUCUAGGAAGGAAAGUUUACAUUGCGAGUUAAUGAAGAGCAAGUAACUUUCACCAUCCACCAAGCUAAGAAGUUUCAAGAAAAAGUUAACACUUGCAAUAUGAUCCAAUCAGCUGAAGCAGUUACAGGUAAUAGAGGAAAAGAUAAAAAAUUUUAUGGUCCGCUAGUGCAGAACAUGGCAACCAGUUACUCAGCAAGGGAUGCAUCUACUGAAGGUAAAUACUCAAGAACCAAGAAGAUGGUAGAUUUCAUCUUAGCUCAAGAGGCUAAUUCACUGACAAAAAGGAAAGCUAUGUGGAUAGGCCUCUGAAACCCCUAAACAUUGCCAAACCAAAAGAGGUUUUGAAGGCUACACCUGGUUAAAACGGCCUAAUUUUGUUGGCCAUGCUACAGUGAAGGAGAAUACAGAGUCGAGAGUGAAGUCUAGAAACAAGAGAGAUGUGCCACCUGAAGAUCCAACAUAGACACCUCGGUUAUGUCAAGCUAAUGACAUUAAAGAAACACUUUUUAGGAGGCAAACCAAUCGUUUGUUUUUUUAUUUUUUUUAAUUAUACGCUAGUUUAUUGUAUUUUAGAGUUUAUUUCGGUAUUCAUCAGCCAUAUCCUAACUCCUCUUAGGUAUUUGAGUAAUCAAAUUGGUUAUUAGAUGUUUGAGUUAAGUACCACUUGUUCUAUUUGUUUAAUAUCUAAACUUUGACUUUUCAGGAACAUGACGUCGCGAAACACUUAAACCAAUAUUGACAAGGAAAAAAAAAAGAUAAAUAUCAAGUUUGGGGAAAAAGUUAGAAGAUCCGUUCAUCAGCAUCAAUAUCAUAACACCGUACUGUCAUGGGCAAUUUAGACAAUUCAGGGAAGUUCUUCUCCUUCUCUUUUAAUUUCAUAUUGGGGACAAUGUUUAGUCUAAGUGUGAGAGAGUGUAUUAUAAAUUGUCUAAUUGCAUAAUUUAUUUAUUUUUUAUUUUGUGUGAUUUGUGUACAACUAAAAAAUUGUGUUUUGCAUACUUGUGUGAGUUAGAUACUUUGCCGACAAUGAUGUAUAUUAUUGAGAACAUGCAUUGAUUUCUAAAUUGUGGAUAAGUUGUGUGUUUGAGUUAAAUUUUUGCUUAUUCGUAUGAAAUGAAAAAUAUUCUUGCACGUGAGUUGAUUGUGGCGUUGUACACGAAUAGAUUGAUUCAUGUUUAUAGGUUGGAUUAGAGAAUUUAGAUGUUAAAUCCAAACAACCAUUAAUUAUUAUUAUACCCUUAAACCAAACCUAGGAUGUUUGGAUGAUUGCACUGUUGCAGGAAAACUUGGAGAUAAAUGUUGAUUCCAUGUGUGCUAAUUUUUUGUGUGGACUGUCGGAGACUAAUUAGAUAAAAAUUGGGUGAAAACCUUAGGCUAGAGGUCAAUUUUCGAGAAUAGGUGUUUAAUAAGGGGAAUUAUACUAAUCACUACAAAGAAAAAAGAUCCCAAUGAGGACAACUUUAAUAAUCUUAUUAUGAAUCGUCUCUUCAUAGCCUUUAUAACUCGAAUGAUUAAGCCUGCAAGGGUUUAAAAUGUGAUGCCCUAAAAUCAUCUGAUUUGAAAGUAAUCGACCUAAAACUCGCUACACGAGUAAUUUAGAAAGCUUAAUGGAGAGACGUCCUCACAAAGGGUAAUUGAAAGAAUAAAAUUAUAUCUGAAAAAAUGGACAUCACAUGUCUUGUGUUUUAGAGGAUUAGACCUUCUGAUAAGGGGUUAGUAACUUGGUUGAUUCUUGGAGGUUGAAGCAGUGAAAAAUAAGGAGAACCCUCAUUUAUUAAUAUGUUGAACUACAAUUAGUAAAAUUUAACCAAAUUUGAGGGGUGGAAGAAACUAGUAUUGAAAAUUCACCUUAGAUUACAUCAUUGGAAAGAGAAAAGAAAACAAGUUUGGGGUGUGUAAAUUCCACAAGCGAAGUAAGGAAAUAUUAAACUUUUAAGGUCGAGAAUUGAAUCAACUUAUUAUUGUAUAGCGUUGCACUUAACUCUCCACCCACACACAUGCACACACCCGUUUUGAAUUGAAUAGGCGAGAAUUUAGCUUGUGUAUUAUAACUUUGAAGUGAUCCAUGACAUUGAUGUUAUGUUUUUAAUCUUGAGUUAUAAAGGAAAGAUAUAUAGCGAAAUCUGUUCUUACAUGAUUUUGUCGAUUUUAAUUGAGUUUGUGUAUUUGUUCUUUAUUUUCUUUAGUUUGGUGUUCGCUCGAGGACAAGUAAAAUAUUAAGUUUGUGGGUAUUUGAUGAGUACUCUACACUCAUGAUAUUUAUACUACUUAAUUCAUUAUCUUGCUAUCCUUGAAGUUAUACUAAAAACACUGAAGGAUGCGUAUUUUGUCUUUUCGAUCAAACCAGGAGUGUUACUGAAAAUAUGCAGUAAGAGCAGUAUCACAGCGCCCAUCUUGGGUGCCGAGGCGGCGACUAUGCGGGAAAAAGGAUUUUAUGUUUUUGGACUUUUUUUGGGUCCAAUUCAAUCCUAGUUCGUCCAAGAACUUCAAAAUACUAUAAAUACAAUUCAAAAGACCUAUUUUCUUGAUGAAUUGAAAGAGGCAAGAUUGAAAAAUUUAACCACACAAUUUGAAGGAGGCAAAAAUUGAAGACACCAAAAGAAUGCAAGAACAACAUCAAGGAAGAAGAUUAAAAAUCUACACAAAAAGAUUUGUUUUUUCUAUCCUUUUCCUUAUGUUGUCUAUUAUGAAUUAUAUGAAUUUCCUGUUCCAUAUCAUGAACUAAAUAAUUUAUCUAGGGUUUGAUGUUGCCGAAC
This 10568-nucleotide long non-coding RNA is filed under the name Olea europaea subsp. europaea. Lineage: Eukaryota; Viridiplantae; Streptophyta; Magnoliopsida; Lamiales; Oleaceae. The record is from RNAcentral.